CGUUCUAAUCUUAGCCGUUUAUUUUUAAUCAAUAAAGGAUUAAGAUUUAUACAUAAAAAAAGAUAACCUGCUACUGCACAAGUAGUACCGAUCACCCGGAAUGUGAUCUAGGAUUUUUUUUUUGAAAAAAGAAAGAGCUAAUAUUAAAAAGUUAAAUAACUAAUAUUGGAAAGUUUUGCAUACUGCCCUUAAAUCAUGAAGAGAAUAAAUUUUUAAUUAAAUUAUUCAUUUUUAAAUUUAAUUUUAAUAAUAAUUUAUGAACGCAUUUGAGUCAUAAAUUUAGUAAUUUAUAAUUUUAAAUUAAUUUU
Molecule: long non-coding RNA, 308 nt
Filed under: Ananas comosus (pineapple)
Lineage: Eukaryota; Viridiplantae; Streptophyta; Magnoliopsida; Poales; Bromeliaceae
Description: long non-coding RNA (ACOM_LNC027611)
Source: RNAcentral